UCUUGACUCCAUUGCCGGAUUUGUAUUAGACUGGCAGGGUCGCCCCGAAGCGGGCGGAAACAAGCAAGCGUGUUGUUUGAGAACUCAAUAGUGUGUUUGGUGGUUUCACAUUUUUGUUGUUAUU
Molecule: small RNA, 124 nt
Filed under: Mycobacterium tuberculosis H37Rv
Lineage: Bacteria; Bacillati; Actinomycetota; Actinomycetes; Mycobacteriales; Mycobacteriaceae
Description: Putative small regulatory RNA
Source: RNAcentral